Molecule: ribosomal RNA, 117 nt
Filed under: Panorpidae sp. CH-2014
Lineage: Eukaryota; Metazoa; Arthropoda; Insecta; Mecoptera; Panorpidae
Description: partial 16S ribosomal RNA
Source: RNAcentral
AAGGAUUCAAAGGUCGAACAGACCUAAACUUUGAAAUUCUGCACCCAAAAAUAACCCUUAAUCCAACAUCGAGGUCGCAACCCUUUUUGUCGAUAUGAACUCUUAAAAAAGAUUACG